Small nucleolar RNA from Phyllostomus discolor (pale spear-nosed bat), 130 nucleotides. RefSeq annotates it as small nucleolar RNA SNORA31. The transcript has a single exon. Lineage: Eukaryota; Metazoa; Chordata; Mammalia; Chiroptera; Phyllostomidae. The record is from RefSeq and is a predicted model, not a curated record.
UUGCAUCCACUGAUAGACCCUGAACAAUGUAAUAUUGUUCUUUUGGUUUGCACUAGGGUGGGAAGGAAAAAAAAUCCCUGCAUUUUUUGUCUGUCUUUGUGGAACCCACAUUGAAUAGGGGACUAUAUCU